GCGGCGCUCCCGCUGCCCCCGGCCCGCGGGCAGCGCUCCCCAAAACGCCAGCCCGCCCCUCUCUCGGCACCCCGAGCCGGGCAACUUUGGAGGGGGCCGAGGAUGGGGAAACCCGGAAAAAACCCUCUUGGCACAGCAGAAGCUGAAACAUCUUCCCAGUUACCAGGACAGCCCUAUAGCAAGGAGUAAGUGAAAGCCCUGACCUUUGCAUUUGUGGAGCUCCUGCAACACAGAGCAGCUCUCUGACCAGGGAGUCCUUCACUCCCCCAGCAAGUUCCCUUCACACACAUCAAACUGACACGUGUGGAUCUCUGCCACCUUUUCCCAGAAUUCAUCAAAGGUCAUUUAUGGCAUUACAGAAUAUCCUGAGUUGGAAAGGACCCACAAGGAUCAUCAAAGCCCAGCUCCUCCAUUACAGCAUGGAUACAUGACAAGACCACAUUGCAUUACAAAUAUCUCUCAUUUUUCCUUUGGGAUCUGUCCUAAGCAUCUACUUGGAAGGCAUCCUAAUUUUUUCUUGAUCUAUGACAAACUCUGGGCUGCAGUGAGUACCUGUCAGAGCAGGCUUAAGGGACUUUGGUUCUUUCUGAAUGAGCCUGGCAGAAUCACAGUGAAGCAGAGAAUUUAGAGCAGAGGGGCCUGACAGUGAGGUGCAUAACAUGGUCUUAUGAUGCACGGUCCUGUCUCUACUCACUAGAUUUACUGUAAAAGCUGGGCAGGAAUUAUUUUCUGAUGCACAAUAUGCAGGAACAUGAUAAAGUAUUUCAAGGCAUUAUAGGACACAGCCCUAGAAGACAAAAAUGGUUUAAAGAAAAUCCUCUUGCAUUUUAAGAGCACCACCUACAAGGAAGACUCCACAUCAAACACACAGUUUCAAGAGCUUCUCAGGUAUCUCAUCAACCCCUUGAAGCUUGUGUUAGUUACAGUGCUAGAGCUUUACCUUUAUUUAAUGACCUGAUGAAUUAAAACACUGGUGGUUGCUUUAAUCAGCGAUUUAAUGAAUGUAUCAUCAUAACUAAAUGAGUAUUAAUUACCAUAUACCACCCUUGAUUAUCAGAGAAAAAUAGAAAUCAAGAUGUUUUGUGGUUUCAAAUGUUACUAUAAGUGUUCCUGCUGGUAGCUUACGUGGACUUGAUUUAAGGUUUGUGGUAAAUUCUUCCCUUACCCCUGAAAACCCCUAAGCAACAUUCUGUCAGAUCUACCAACUUUGCCUGUCUGAGGGAAAAAAGCUAUAAAUUAGCAUUUAUUUCUACUUGCAGUAUAAACCCAGAUUUAUAUGAAGCUUUACAGGCCUCAGCAAGUCUGGAUAAACAUGGCAUGAAAGGAGUUUUAUAAAAAAAGCCCAGCCUAAGAAGAAGUCAUCCUGGUCCAUGAAGUUUUUGAAGCAAAGCUAUUUUUCAGUGACAAAUGCUCUGAUGAAAAUAAAGUGUGGUUCCUUCUUAAAUGUAUUCUCACCUAAAGCCCUUUCAUUUCAAUGACAGCAAUGGAUAAAACAAUAACAAAAACAAGUGCAAAGGGUGGCUAGAAUAAUGUACAAGGGUUGGCACUUAGGUGUUCAAGUGCAAAUUUAUCUUCGAUUUCAGUUUGAUAAGUACGGGCCCUGUGACUUUUAAAAGUGUGUCCCACAGCCCCCCUAACAAACAAGUUGUCAGGUUUUUUCAAAAUCUGUCUUUUCAUAACAAGAAUGAUUGACACACUUCAGAUGUGCAACCUGAUCAGCUUCCAGACACUUAUUAGUCUCUCAGUGCAGGAGAAGCAGUGAACUAUUCUGCAAAAGGUCAUUUCCCUUUUUAAAGUAGUCAGAAACCUGCCUUUGACAUUGAAUCUUUUCCUCAUAAAUAAGCAUAGGAAAGAUUUUUGUCUGAUAUUUUGUUCCUUCAGCACUGUGCAGUGUUCACUGAAAUCGGGUAUGGAGAGGCACUGAGUUGGUUUGUGUGGGGUUUUUUUUCCAGAAGGGAAGCAGUAAACGUACCCAUAAGGCUGGUGAGAUUAUUUAACAUUUAACCAGUGUAUGCCACUUUCAUUUAUCUGUCCUAUGGUGUCUGGAUGCUACAGGAUGCCUGAGAAACAGCUCAAGUUCUGUGAACAGAGUUCUAUAUUUAAAAAAAUUCAUAUAUUUACCUUUCUAGUGAGCUAUUAGGUAUUUGGCCAGCCUGACUGUUAUCAAGAACUGUCUCUUUUACUCUCAUAGUUCUCCCUCAAGUCUCAGCAGACAUGGUUGAUAAAAAUGAAAAUAAAUCACUGCAGUUUCUAACUGUU
Corvus hawaiiensis (hawaiian crow) is the source of this 2259-nucleotide long non-coding RNA. RefSeq lists it as uncharacterized. The transcript has 2 exons. NCBI's taxonomy places the organism in Eukaryota, Metazoa, Chordata, Aves, Passeriformes, Corvidae. The record is from RefSeq and is a predicted model, not a curated record.